RNAcentral lists this long non-coding RNA (718 nucleotides) under Salmo trutta (river trout). RNAcentral describes it as "lncRNA (ENSSTUG00000008982.1)". Lineage: Eukaryota; Metazoa; Chordata; Actinopteri; Salmoniformes; Salmonidae. The record is from RNAcentral.
CUAUGUGAGAAUUGCAAGAACAAUCUAAGGUACCAAAAAUAUUUUUUGUAACUAACAGUUUAACAAUUCAAUGUAUGGAAACAAACCGAUGGCAGUAACAAUGUGUGUGAGUGUGUUUGUCAUCUCCUCCCAGGGUUCAACUCCAACAUCAACCUACCAGGGAGAGAGGAGCACCCAGGCUCCACCUCCUCCUCCCCGUCUCCACAGCUACAGGACAAGAACGCCAACAACCACGCCCCUCACUCCCCAAGCCACACCCCCGUAGAGAAUGGCAACCGGCUGUCCAAUGGGUCAAUGGAAGAUGAGGGUCACACCAAGUCAAACUCCUCCAGCUCAUCGUCUCUGCACAGACAUAUGGACAGACAUCACACCCAGAGGGGUCAUCUCAACUUCUCACCGUUCGGUGCAGGGGCUGCGCUCUAAGGCAGGGGGGCGCUGGGAGCACCCCUCACGUUUAGGGACAAGGUGAGUGUCAUCGUCCAUAUUGUACCCUACCUCACUGCUCUCCCUUCCUCUCCUUUCAGCACUUCCUCUUCCUGUUGUAUCCUUCUUGUCACCCUGCUCCCAAGUGAAGUUGCCCGUAACCACAGAUCUAGGAUCAGAUUAUCAUCCCUGUAAUCCUAACCUUAACCAUUAGGAGGGGAAAUGCGAGUAUAAGGGGCAACCUCAUCCUACUCUGUUCCACUUAUUGCUCAGAAAGGAAACUGCAGCUCUGGGU